GAUGAAGAACGUAGCGAAAUGCGAUACUUGGUGUGAAUUGCAGAAUCCCGUGAACCAUCGAGUCUUUGAACGCAAGUUGCGCCCGAAGCCACUAGGCCGAGGGCACGCCUGCCUGGGCGUCACACGCCGUUGCCCCCCCAUCUACUCCUUCGGGAUUGCGGGGGGGCGGAUGAUGGCCUCCCGUGCGCCUAGCCGCGCGGUUGGCAUAAAUACCAAGUCCUCGGCGACGCACGCCACGACAAUCGGUGGUUGCGAAACCUCGGUUGCCCGUCGUGUGCGUCCGUCGCGCAUCGAGGGCUCGAAAAAAUGCUCGGCUCCGGCUGGGCUUUCAACGCGACCCCAGGUCAGGCGGGGUUACCCGCUGAAUUUAAGCAUAUCAAUAAGCGGAGGA
RNAcentral lists this unclassified non-coding RNA (391 nucleotides) under soil metagenome. RNAcentral describes it as "partial contains 5.8S ribosomal RNA, internal transcribed spacer 2, and large subunit ribosomal RNA". The stretch from base 1 to 122 matches the Rfam family "5.8S ribosomal RNA", at positions 35 to 154 of the family's 154-position model. The record is from RNAcentral.